AUUGAACGCUGGCGGCAGGCUUAACACAUGCAAGUCGAGCGGGGUGAUGGUGCUUGCACUAUCACUUAGCGGCGGACGGGUGAGUAAUGCUUAGGAAUCUGCCUAUUAGUGGGGGACAACAUCUCGAAAGGGAUGCUAAUACCGCAUACGUCCUACGGGAGAAAGCAGGGGAUCACUUGUGACCUUGCGCUAAUAGAUGAGCCUAAGUCGGAUUAGCUAGUUGGUGGGGUAAAGGCCUAACAAGGCGACGAUCUGUAGCGGGUCUGAGAGGAGGAUCCCGCACACUGGGACGGGGACACGCCCCAGACUACGGGGACGGGCAGCAGUGGGGAAUAUUGGCGAAUGGGGGGAGCCCUGAUCCAGCCAUGCCGCGUGUGUGAAGAAGGCCUUAUGGUUGUAAAGCACUUUAAGCGAGGAGGAGGCUCUUUUGGUUAAUACCCAAGAUGAGUGGACGUUACUCGAAGAAUAAGCACCGGCUAACUCUGUGCCAGCAGCCGCCGUAA
Molecule: ribosomal RNA, 503 nt
Filed under: uncultured bacterium
Lineage: Bacteria
Description: partial 16S ribosomal RNA
Rfam family: Bacterial small subunit ribosomal RNA
Source: RNAcentral